GCCAGGUGUGGUGGUGCACACCUGUAGUCCCAGCUACUUGGGAGGCUGAGGUGGGAGGAUUGCUUGAGCCUGGGAGGUUGAGGCUGCAGUGAGCUGUGAUCACGCCACUGCACUCCAGCCUGGACGACAGAGUGAGACCCUGUUUCAA
Molecule: non-coding RNA, 148 nt
Filed under: Chlorocebus sabaeus (green monkey)
Lineage: Eukaryota; Metazoa; Chordata; Mammalia; Primates; Cercopithecidae
Source: Rfam by way of RNAcentral